Molecule: long non-coding RNA, 900 nt
Organism: Micropterus dolomieu (smallmouth bass)
Lineage: Eukaryota; Metazoa; Chordata; Actinopteri; Centrarchiformes; Centrarchidae
Exons: 2
Source: RefSeq, a predicted model, not a curated record
UCUGACCCCCCUCCUCCUUUCAGGGUGAAGCCUGCUGGAGUCCGAUGGUUGAGACCAGGUCUGAGGAAGUAUUCCUGUGAACUCACAAUCGACACAAACACAGUACACAGAAAGAUCAAACUGUCUGACAACAACAGGAAGGCGACACGUGUGUGGGACGAUCAGUCAUAUCCUGAUCAUCCAGACAGGUUUGACUACUGGCCUCAGCUGCUGUGUACAGAUGGUCUGACUGGUCGCUGUUACUGGGAGGUCGAGUGGAGAGGACACAUUAAUAUAUCAGUGAGUUACAGAGGAAUCAGAAGGAGAGGAGAAGACUGUGAGUUUGGAUGGAAUGAUCAUUCCUGGAGACUGAGGUGCUCUGAUGGUCGUUACUCUGUCUGUCACAAUAACACAGAAAUACCCAUCUCCUCCUCCUCCUCCUCCUCCUCCUCCUCCUCCUCUGGUAGAGUAGCAGUGUAUGUGGACUGUCCUGCUGGCUCUCUGUCCUUCUACAGAGUCUCCUCUGACACACUGAUCCACCUCCACACCUUCAACACCACAUUCACUGAACCUCUUUAUCCUGGCUUUGGGCUCAGGUGGUCCUGGUCUGGUUCCUCAGUGUCUCUGUGUUCUGUGUAGGAGGGAGAGUCUCCUCCUGGUAGAGAACAGAUCAGUUGAGUCUGUACAGGAUCACAGAAAUCUUUCAGCUUCUUGUAAUAAAUCCAUCAAUGAACUUUGUACAAAGUGAUUCAAAGUGAUUGAACAGAUUCCUCAUUUCCAUGUAAACUUCUUCCACUUCCAGUCCUUUAAAGAUGGAAGCUCUGAUCAUUAAAUGGUGGAAAUGCCGUUGACUUGGACCUUCUGUCAUGUGUUGCUUUGAAUUCUGGCUCUUGUUCCAAUAAAAGCAGAAUGUUACUGUGA